AAGCAUAUCAAUAAGCGGAGGAAAAGAAACCAACAGGGAUUGCCUCAGUAACGGCGAGUGAAGCGGCAACAGCUCAAAUUUGAAAUCUGGCCUCUUGGGGUCCGAGUUGUAAUUUGUAGAGGAUGUUUCGGGUACCGCCCCGGUCUAAAUUUCUUGGAACAGAAUGUCAGAGAGGGUGAGAAUCCCGUCUUGGACCGGUGGUAGGGCCUAUGUGAAACUCCUUCGACGAGUCGAGUUGUUUGGGAAUGCAGCUCAAAAUGGGUGGUAAAUUUCAUCUAAAGCUAAAUAUUGGCCAGAGACCGAUAGCGCACAAGUAGAGUGAUCGAAAGAUGAAAAGCACUUUGAAAAGAGAGUUAAACAGUAUGUGAAAUUGUUGAAAGGGAAGCGCUGGCAAUCAGACUUGCGCGCGGCGGUUCCCCCUGCCUUUUGGCUGGGUUAUUCCGCCGUGUCCAGGCCAACAUCGGUUCUGGGGGCCGGUUAAAGGCCUUGGGAAUGU
This 496-nucleotide ribosomal RNA is filed under the name Exophiala sp. Its description in RNAcentral is "partial large subunit ribosomal RNA". It matches the Rfam family "Eukaryotic large subunit ribosomal RNA", at positions 36 to 537 of the family's 3401-position model. Lineage: Eukaryota; Fungi; Ascomycota; Eurotiomycetes; Chaetothyriales; Herpotrichiellaceae. The record is from RNAcentral.